This 76-nucleotide transfer RNA is filed under the name Paramesorhizobium deserti. RNAcentral describes it as "tRNA-Glu". It matches the Rfam family "tRNA". From Rfam's summary of the family: Transfer RNA (tRNA) molecules are approximately 80 nucleotides in length. Their secondary structure includes four short double-helical elements and three loops (D, anti-codon, and T loops). RNAcentral also lists the same sequence under 4 other names. The record is from RNAcentral. Lineage: Bacteria; Pseudomonadati; Pseudomonadota; Alphaproteobacteria; Hyphomicrobiales; Phyllobacteriaceae.
GCGCCCAUCGUCUAGCGGUCCAGGACGCCGCCCUCUCACGGCGGAAACAGGGGUUCGAUUCCCCUUGGGCGUGCCA